RNAcentral lists this ribosomal RNA (866 nucleotides) under Chionaster sp. RNAcentral's name for it is "partial large subunit ribosomal RNA". It matches the Rfam family "Eukaryotic large subunit ribosomal RNA", at positions 38 to 906 of the family's 3401-position model. The record is from RNAcentral. Lineage: Eukaryota; Fungi; Basidiomycota; Tremellomycetes; Chionasterales; Chionasteraceae.
GCAUAUCAAUAAGCGGAGGAAAAGAAACUAACAAGGAUUCCCCUAGUAACGGCGAGUGAAGCGGGAAGAGCUCAAAUUUGUAAUCUGGCACUUUCGGUGUCCGAGUUGUAAUCUCGAGAAGUGUUUUCCGCGCCGGACCGCAUACAAGUCUGUUGGAAUACAGCGUCAUAGUGGUGAGAACCCCGUAACUGAUGCGGAUGCCCGGUGCUUUGUGAUACACUUUCGAAGAGUCGAGUUGUUUGGGAAUGCAGCUCAAAUUGGGUGGUAAAUUCCAUCUAAAGCUAAAUAUUGGCGAGAGACCGAUAGCGAACAAGUACCGUGAGGGAAAGAUGAAAAGCACUUUGGAAAGAGAGUUAACAGUACGUGAAAUUGUUGGAAGGGAAACGCUUGAAGUCAGACUUGCUAUUUGGAAUUCAGCCGCAAGGUGUACUUUUCAAUUCGCAGGCCAGCAUCAGUUUUCGGGGGUGGAAAAGGGUAGAGAGAAGGUAGCAAUUUCGGUUGUGUUAUAGCUCUUUGCUGGAUUCAUCCUUGGGGACUGAGGAACGCAGCACGCUUUUUGCAAGGCUUUCGAGCUUUUCGUGCUUAGGAUGCUGGUGGAAUGGCUUUAAACGACCCGUCUUGAAACACGGACCAAGGAGUCUAACAUGCUUGCGAGUGUUUGGGUGUCAAACCCGGACGCGCAAUGAAAGUGAAUGGAGGUGGGAAGCGCAAGCUGCACCAUCGACCGAUCUGGAUUUUUUAAGAUGGAUUUGAGUAAGAGCAAUUAUGUUGGGACCCGAAAGAUAGUGAACUAUGCCUGAAUAGGGCGAAGCCAGAGGAAACUCUGGUGGAGGCUCGUAGCGGUUCUGACGUGCAAAUCGAUCGUC